AUUGGCGGGUGGCGCUGUCAGUUGCUCAGCGCACAGCUUGCUGGGAGUUGUAGGACGAGGGGUCCUCGUCCCAGAGGCUUCGGACGCUAUGAAGGACGUUUCUGCUCGGCCGGCCUGAGCCCACGAGUUCCCGCCUGGGCCUCUUCAGCUUAUGUUAGUCCAGGAAUCCCCCAGGCUCAGCAUGCAGGUUACAAGAGCUUCUUUUCCCGGGGCUCAGGGCCCCGAGGUUCUGGGGACCCGUCUGGGAGACCGUUGAACCGAGGGCUGGCUUCGUGGUUCCCUGGGGUGAAGAAGCCGUUGUGUGACCCGUCGGGGCCAGGGGCGCGGAAGGCCAGAGGGGUUAGGUAUUUGUCACCCAGAAGCCUACGGUUUCGUACACCAGAAACGGAGCAAGUUUGUCCGGCUGUUUUGAUCAGUCAGUCCAAGGGGGGCCGUGACUGGUCACAAUGGGAGAGUGGCUCCUGGCCAAGAGGGAGGGAACCCUUUGUGGGCUCACAAAAUAAUUGGGAAGAUGAACGCGACAGGUAGCCUUGGCAAUUUCUUUGUCUCCUUCUUCAAGUGUCCUCACCAGGAGUCUCCUUAUUCGGCCCUGUGGGGGCUUUGCCACACCCGAGAUCUGGGACCUGUAUCUCCACAAUUUCCAGAAAUGGAUUCUUUUGUUAUUUGUAUUUAACGAACAUGUCAACUUGCCAGAUUAAUCACGAAACUUUUGAUGUAGAAGAGACCCUUUGUCUGGACUACAUUUGCCCCAGAUAUCUUCAUGGCUUGUUCCCUAUCAGAAUGGAUUCUGUGGGACUGCAUAUUUUUUUGUGAUAGUCAGGCCACUUUCUGUUUUUUUCUUUUCCCUUCCUUUGGAAGAGCUGUUUAAAAUGCUGUCCUUGAGGCUGAACAAGAAUGAACGCAUAAGCUGGUCUCGGAAGCCAGGUUGGACCAACCGGGAAAGGCAUCACCUCAGCAGAUGACACCCAUCUUCUGAAGGCUUAGAGGUGGUCCCCAAAGGAUGCUUGGGGACACGACAAGGUGGUGUCAUUAGAGCCAGUUGGGAGAGGCUUGCGGUUUCACUGCCAGCCCCUUUGCGAACCAGGGGAGUGCUGUGAUGGAAAAUGGCCCGAGUGUAACUGAGGAAGCAUUGCGGUCUCCUCCAGGGAGAAGAGCUGUCCUCACCGACAGCUGAAAAUCCACGUGAGCAGCAAAGCCGAAAGCUCCCGGUGAAGCCUCAUGUGUUAACACAUGUAAUAAUGUGAUGGCCAGUAUUUAUGUAAUAUUUUAAACCUCUUGUAACACUUUUACACAUGACCCUACUCUUUUAGAAAUAGUAUGGGUCGUGAUGAUGGAUUUGAGUUUGAAUUCUGGUUCAACCUAUUGGCUGUGUGAUCCUAAAUAAGUUACUUAACCUCUCAGGACCUGUUUUCUCCUCUGUAAAAUGGUGAUGGUGAUGGUGAUGGGUCAAGGUGAGACCCACCUUACAGGAUAAGGCUUGAAUGAGACAAAUACCUAAUAUGACAUUCGACCCACAGGGGGCACUGCAUUUCCUUCUCUAAAGGUAGCUAUUUGCAUUGGUUGACCUCAAACUUUCACAAUGGUCGCAUGUUUAUAAAGGAAACGUGUUCUCUUCAAAUGUGUCUCAAGUUACACGGUGAUUCUUAACUGCAGCAAUGGGGGUGAUGUCUGUACUGUUAAAAAGCACCUGCACCCCGGCCCCAGACUUCUUGCUGAGGAUCACUGGUCUACAAUCCCGAGUAUCUCUCAGUAGUUGGAUAUUCUUGUUUGAUAUUUUCACUCAUAGCUUUAUUUCAGUAAAGUAAGGGUUUGCCUCCAUGGGAGGGCAAUACAUUAAGCUAAUCAAAAAGGUAGUCCACAGAUUACUUUCUCAUGUGUAGCCAGGUGCCAGGAUGCAUUUUUUCUUGGGCAAUUCAGAGGCGGGGCAGUUAAUGGAAAGAAGGAUGGAAACACAAAGGGUACUCAGGGCCUACAGGAGGAUUGAUUGGGCCAUGGCGGGGAAAAUGGAUAAAAAGGAAGGGAGAGGGAACUGGAGACAGUUAUCAUUUUUCUCAGCCUCUCAUUCUGCAGCUGUGACACGGCUUCUCCUGGGGCACCACUGCCUCUCAAUAGAAACUGCUCUCUGUGGGCGCCUGGGUGGCGCAGUCGGUUAAGCGUCCGACUUCAGCC
Long non-coding RNA from Leopardus geoffroyi (Geoffroy's cat), 2169 nucleotides. RefSeq lists it as uncharacterized. The record is from RefSeq and is a predicted model, not a curated record. NCBI's taxonomy places the organism in Eukaryota, Metazoa, Chordata, Mammalia, Carnivora, Felidae. The transcript is spliced from 5 exons.